RNAcentral lists this ribosomal RNA (253 nucleotides) under uncultured bacterium. Its description in RNAcentral is "partial 16S ribosomal RNA". It matches the Rfam family "Bacterial small subunit ribosomal RNA", at positions 524 to 776 of the family's 1533-position model. The record is from RNAcentral.
UACGGGGGGGGCAAGCGUUGUUCGGAAUUACUGGGCGUAAAGGGCUCGUAGGCGGCCAACUAAGUCCGACGUGAAAUCCCAAGGCUUAACCUUGGAACUGCGUCGGAUACUGGAUGGCUUGAAUUCGGGAGAGGGAUGCAGAAUUCCAGGUGUAGCGGUGAAAUGCGUAGAUAUCUGGAGGAAUACCGGUGGCGAAGGCGGCAUCCUGGACCGACAUUGACGCUGAGGAGCGAAAGCGUGGGGAGCAAACAGG